Molecule: ribosomal RNA, 416 nt
Filed under: uncultured microorganism
Description: bacterial SSU rRNA
Rfam family: Bacterial small subunit ribosomal RNA
Source: RNAcentral
GAGUUUGAUCGUGGUUCAGAUUGAACGCUGGCGGCAUGCCUUACACAUGCAAGUCGAACGGCAGCACGGGAGCUUGCUCCUGGUGGCGAGUGGCGAACGGGUGAGUAAUAUAUCGAAACGUACCCUAGAGUGGGGGAUAACGCAGCGAAAGUUGCGCUAAUACCGCAUACGAUCUACGGAUGAAAGUGGGGGAUCGCAAGACCUCAUGCUCAUGGAGCGGCCGAUAUCUGAUUAGCUAGUUGGUGGGGUAAAGGCCUACCAAGGCAUCGAUCAGUAGCUGGUCUGAGAGGACGACCAGCCACACUGGAACUGAGACACGGUCCAGACUCCUACGGGAGGCAGCAGUGGGGAAUUUUGGACAAUGGGGCAACCCUGAUCCAGCAAUGCCGCGUGAGUGAAGAAGGCCUCGGUGUAAG